UAGGGAAUCUUCGGCAAUGGACGAAAGUCUGACCGAGCAACGCCGCGUGAGUGAAGAAGGUUUUCGGAUCGUAAAACUCUGUUGUUAGAGAAGAACAAGGACGUUAGUAACUGAACGUCCCCUGACGGUAUCUAACCAGAAAGCCACGCCUAACUACGUGCCAGCAGCCGCGGUAAUACGUAGGUGGCAAGCGUUGUCCGGAUUUAUUGGGCGUAAAGCGAGCGCAGGCGGUUUCUUAAGUCUGAUGUGAAAGCCCCCGGCUCAACCGGGGAGGGUCAUUGGAAACUGGGAGACUUGAGUGCAGAAGAGGAGAGUGGAAUUCCAUGUGUGGCGGUGAAAUGCGUAGAUAUAUGGAGGAACACCAGUGGCGAAGGCGGCUCUCUGGUCUGUAACUGACGCUGAGGCACGAAAGCGUGGGGAGCAAACAGG
This 429-nucleotide ribosomal RNA is filed under the name Gemmatimonadota bacterium. RNAcentral's name for it is "Gemmatimonadetes bacterium partial 16S ribosomal RNA". It matches the Rfam family "Bacterial small subunit ribosomal RNA", at positions 355 to 776 of the family's 1533-position model. Lineage: Bacteria; Pseudomonadati; Gemmatimonadota. The record is from RNAcentral.